UGCCAGCAGCCGCGGUAAUACGGAGGGGGCUAGCGUUGUUCGGAAUUACUGGGCGUAAAGGGCGCGUAGGCGGAUUAGUAAGUUGGGAGUGAAAGCCCGGGGCUCAACCUCGGAACUGCUUUCAAAACUGCUAGUCUUGAGUGAAGUAGGGGGUGAUGGAAUUCCUAGUGUAGAGGUGAAAUUCUUAGAUAUUAGGAGGAACACCGGUGGCGAAGGCGGUCACCUGGACUUCAACUGACGCUGAGGAGCGAAAGCUAGGGGAGCAAACAGGAUUAGAUA
Molecule: ribosomal RNA, 279 nt
Filed under: uncultured bacterium
Lineage: Bacteria
Description: partial 16S ribosomal RNA
Rfam family: Bacterial small subunit ribosomal RNA
Source: RNAcentral